RNAcentral lists this non-coding RNA (27 nucleotides) under Drosophila melanogaster (fruit fly). The record is from RNAcentral. Lineage: Eukaryota; Metazoa; Arthropoda; Insecta; Diptera; Drosophilidae.
UUACUUCCCCGUCGUUUGUUUUAACCG